RNAcentral lists this ribosomal RNA (440 nucleotides) under uncultured bacterium. RNAcentral describes it as "partial 16S ribosomal RNA". It matches the Rfam family "Bacterial small subunit ribosomal RNA", at positions 338 to 795 of the family's 1533-position model. The record is from RNAcentral.
CCUACGGGAUGCAGCAGUGGGGAAUAUUGCACAAUGGGGGAAACCCUGAUGCAGCGACGCCGCGUGAGUGAAGAAGUAAUUCGUUAUGUAAAGCUCUAUCAGCAGGGAAGAAAAUGACGGUACCUGAGUAAGAAGCCCCGGCUAACUAAGUGCCAGCAGCCGCGGUAGUACGUAGGGGGCAAGCGUUAUCCGGUUUUACUGGGUGUAAUGGGAGCGUAGACGGCAGGGCAAGUUUGGAGUGAAAGCCGGGGGCUCAACCCCCGGACUGCUCUGGAAACUGUACGGUUAGAGUGCAGGAGAGGUAAGUGGAAUUCCUAGUGUAGCGGUGAAAUGCGUAGAUAUUAGGAGGAACACCAGUGGCGAAGGCGGCUUACUGGACUGUAACUGACGUUGAGGCUCGAAAGCGUGGGGAGCAAACAGGAUUAGAUACCCUGGUAGUC